RNAcentral lists this ribosomal RNA (253 nucleotides) under uncultured bacterium. RNAcentral describes it as "partial 16S ribosomal RNA". It matches the Rfam family "Bacterial small subunit ribosomal RNA", at positions 524 to 776 of the family's 1533-position model. The record is from RNAcentral.
UACGGAGGGUGCAAGCGUUGUUCGGAAUCAUUGGGCGUAAAGCGCGUGUAGGCGGCUUGGUAAGUCGGGUGUGAAAGCCCGGGGCUUAACCCCGGAACUGCAUUCGAAACUGCCUCGCUAGAGUCCCGGAGGGGAAGGCGGAAUUCCCGGUGUAGAGGUGAAAUUCGUAGAUAUCGGGAGGAACACCCGUAGCGAAGGCGGCCUUCUGGACGGUGACUGACGCUGAGACGCGAAAGCGUGGGGAGCAAACAGG